This 770-nucleotide ribosomal RNA is filed under the name bacterium. RNAcentral describes it as "bacterial SSU rRNA". It matches the Rfam family "Bacterial small subunit ribosomal RNA", at positions 76 to 859 of the family's 1533-position model. The record is from RNAcentral.
CCCUUCGGGGUACUCGAGUGGCGAACGGGUGAGUAACACGUGGGUGAUCUGCCCUGCACUUUGGGAUAAGCCUGGGAAACUGGGUCUAAUACCGAAUAGGAUCAUGGCCUGCAUGGGUUGUGGUGGAAAGCUUUUGCGGUGUGGGAUGGGCCCGCGGCCUAUCAGCUUGUUUGGUGGGGUAAUGGCCUACCAAGGCGACGACGGGUAGCCGGCCUGAGAGGGUGACCGGCCACACUGGGACUGAGAUACGGCCCAGACUCCUACGGGAGGCAGCAGUGGGGAAUAUUGCACAAUGGGCGCAAGCCUGAUGCAGCGACGCCGCGUGAGGGAUGACGGCCUUCGGGUUGUAAACCUCUUUCAGUAGGGACGAAGCGCAAGUGACGGUACCUAUAGAAGAAGGACCGGCCAACUACGUGCCAGCAGCCGCGGUAAUACGUAGGGUCCGAGCGUUGUCCGGAAUUACUGGGCGUAAAGAGCUCGUAGGUGGUUUGUCGCGUUGUUCGUGAAAACUCACAGCUCAACUGUGGGCGUGCGGGCGAUACGGGCAGACUUGAGUACUGCAGGGGAGACUGGAAUUCCUGGUGUAGCGGUGGAAUGCGCAGAUAUCAGGAGGAACACCGGUGGCGAAGGCGGGUCUCUGGGCAGUAACUGACGCUGAGGAGCGAAAGCGUGGGGAGCGAACAGGAUUAGAUACCCUGGUAGUCCACGCCGUAAACGGNGGGUACUAGGUGUGGGUUUCCUUCCUUGGGAUCCGUGCCGUAGCUAACGCA